This 13894-nucleotide long non-coding RNA is filed under the name Canis lupus familiaris (dog). RNAcentral's name for it is "lncRNA (ENSCAFG00000056621.1)". Lineage: Eukaryota; Metazoa; Chordata; Mammalia; Carnivora; Canidae. The record is from RNAcentral.
CACAUAUUUAUUCUCUUACAAUUCUGAAGGCCAGAAGCCAGGGAUCAGUAUCCCUGACCUGAAAUCAAGGUGUUGACAGGUCCAUGUUCCUUCCAGUGACUCCAGGGGAGAAUCCAUUCCUUGCCUCUUCUGGCUUGGGGAUGUCAGUAUUCCUUGACGUAGGGCUCUAUAGCUCCAACCUUCAAGGCCAGCAUCUUCACAUUUCCCUCUGCUGUCUUCACAUUACCUUCUCUGCAUCUCUUUUACACGGGUACAUGUGAUGGCAUCUAGGACCCGCUGGAUAACUCAGGAUAAUCCCCCUUCUCUACAUCCUUAACUAUUUAAUCCCAUCUAUGAAGACACCACACCUGCCCCCCUUUUUAUUCUAUAUGGGGGUAAAUUCAGAUAUUUCAGGGGUUGGAAAGUGAGUAUAUUUUAGGGAACCUACCGCAACCUACCACAGAUAACUAUAAAGAGGAAAAGUCCAUCUUUUACCAGCAUUCUAAAGUUACAAUUUCAGAGGAAGUAAGCAAGACUCACAGAAAGCCAGUAAGCCAAGACCAGGAGAGCUGAUUUAUUUGGAGGAAGCUGAAGAGAAGUUGAGCCAAAUCAUAGUAAGAAGUACACAUCAGGGAGCUGCUAGUUUGAGAUGAUUCUAUUGCAUGGACAAUUCCAGGGAGAAGACUAGUACAAGGAAGAUGACGGAGGCUGACACUCUCGAUUCCCCACGGCUCAACUGAAUUUUAGGCAAUGGUUUUCACUUUGGAAUCAAAACAGCUCACAGUAGCUGUGAAUGGCUAAUGGAAUAAAACUGCAAACUUGUUAUGUCAUGUUCUCCUUUUUCAGUAAUUCCAGAAGCAGAAGGAGCUCGUGGCCCCUGACCCACGAGUUCAGACAGAGAUCAAUAGAUUCAUUUCCAGUUCACCAAGGUCAGCCAAAGGUCAAUGAAAGUCCCUCAAAAUAAAUGGAGACAUUUUCUGCAGGAAGAGUAUAUUUCCUAAAUUUGGGGAGGCGGAGUGGGAAAGAGCCCAGUCUACAAGAGGUCACAUAAAAAGAAGGGUGGGUUUGCACAAAGUUCAAUAAACCAAAAAGUUCAUUCCAGUCAAAAGAAAUCAUUAGAGGUCACACACGUCAAGUUAGAAUCUAACAGAAUGCUGUUUUCUCUUCAAAAUUAAGCACAACAGGAGCAUUCUCUGAAGACAGAAGAGGUCAGAGAAAAGAAGCAUUUUUCCACAAACGGAUUAAAGAUCCCUGCAAUUCAACAUAAAGAUGGGACAAGCUACUUUUAGACACGAGGAUCCAAAUAAUUGGCCCACUUUCUUCUGGCACCGGAACAAUAGUGGAGAGUCGGGCAGUCUAGGACUUUGAUCCAAAGUGAUAGGAACUCCCAACUCAAUAUGAUCCCUGAAUACGGGCUACCCCUUAGAGAGUCAUAAGGUUAACAGAGCUCCUUUGUCUUAAAUACAAAUAAACCGUCAAAGAGCAAACAGACUGGUCAUUCACUGAUCUCUGUGUAUCUUCCAUGAACUAAUCCCAUUGCCUUAUCUGUGCUCCAGUUCUCAGUCUUGGCGUAAAAACUUUUGAUCGAGUGCAUGGGAGGUGCUUAGAAGAACGUGGAAGGACAGGAGACUCCGGGCACCAAAGAAGGGGGAAUCUAAGACCAGGCAAGAGCUGUGAACUUUGGCACCCCUCAGGGAAGGGAAAGCAAACUACCAAGCAUUUCUUUCCAAUCACGUGCUUUGCAUAUUAGGAGUGUAUCUCACUGAAAAUUUUUUCAACAGUCCUGUGGGUGGGAAGACUGUCUCCCAGAACAAAAGCAAGAGCAUGCUUUGGGGGGACUCUGUUUAGGGUCAGAGGGAGGGCAAGAAGUCCACCCUGGCUUUCUUUGUCUUACUCAAUUGUCAGCAGCAUCCUAGGGGCCAUGAACACAACAGAAGAGUGAUGUUCACACAUUCCUUACUUGCAUUUCAGGUGCCUUAGUUCUGGAGAGAAGGAGAAGCUAAAAUCCUCUUCCCCACCCCUGCAUGGUCUUCCAUGUGGGAUUCAGACACAUCCUGACCCUAGCAAGAUGAUUUUACAUGUAAUUACCCCUGUUCCAAUUGCCCCCACUGGGCUUCUUGAGAGCAGGAACUGUGUCUUCUUUAGGGAUCUUAUCUGGUGCCCGGCAUAGGGCUGGCUAUAAAGAAAUGGCACAGAAACUGCACACUUUCUUCAGUGACGAGUGGGGACAUCGUUCCGGCAUUACCUGGAUCCACGGAACAGUUAUGAAGCACCUUCUGAGUCCAGGUCCCCUGCAAGGCGCUCAUGCAUACUUUUCAUUCAGUAAUUCUGAAACAGCCCCGAGAUACUAGGAUUAUUCUUAAUUCUACAGACAGAGAAACUAGGCUCAGAGAGGGAAGAGGACUUGCCUGAGGUUACAUGGCAAUGGAGGGUGUCAGGAUUGUGCUUCCCUUGUACCCCAUUACUUACUGCCCCGCCAUGGACACGGCUCUCUCUUGGGGCCAACGGGAGAAAAUAUGGCCUUUGCACAAAGGGAGCUUAGGAGAAAGGAAGACAAAGAGAAAUAUCUAGGGAUACUUUUAAAAGCAGCAUGUUUGAUGUAAAGGUAAAAGGCCAACUGACCAAGAGGCUGGGGAAGACAGGAGGAUUAGGGGUGACCCCGGAGGAGUGGGGCUAAGCGGAGACGGCAGGUUUCCUGAAGGAGGUGACAUGUGAGCUAGCAUAGCCCGCAGGUCUGCAAUGCAGAACUGGCUCGCUCUAGAGCGAGCUGUGCUCACUGGGAAGUGGGUGUAAUUAAGUCCCUUCCCCAGCAGCUGCAGAGCGUGAGGUGCAGGGGCUGCCGCUGGUGUAUUGCUAGCGCCCCCCUGUGCACAAAGGAAGAAGCGGAGCCCUGCACGGGGUACAGGGGGAAGGCACUGCAGCUGCCUGUGCCCUCCACCAGGAGCGUGCACUGCAUUGCUGACUUCCCCAAAGCAAAAUUUUGAAAAGCCUUCUUUAGUAUGAGCAACAACUAACGAAGCAGGUCUCCCGGCCCAGAACGAGACUUUCCCUUCUCAUCUCCCACUGUAGUGAAGGCCUUUGGUCCUGGACACGAUCUACAGGAUCUCAAGAGAUCCUCCAAGGGUGUGCUCUAGACAAGGACGAGCUGAGAAUCCCUCCAGAGGAACCGCGAGGGUUAGCUCCCUGGUCAGGGCCCCAGUGCCAGGCCUGUCGGGUCUAAGUCAAAGAGCCCGGGGCUAGAAAGUAUGGAAUCAAGAUAUCCGUGUUUUUGUCUAGCUUUGGGUUAUUAUGGGCAUUUUUUUCCUUUGGACUUCAGUUUCUUCAUCUGCAAAUAAGUACGGAAUCAUAUUGCAGUUGACCUGCGGGAACCCUGCAGAAUGGUGGUAUUUGCUCACCCCCUCUCGCUGACUGCUCCUCCUUCUUGCCUCUCCCUUAGAGUCCGUGGUAAGGAAUUUAGAAAUUUUGUGAGUUCGUUUAUUAAGAGUAGAAAACUGAAGGAGGCAUUUACCAAGCUUGCUCUGCCUGCAGCCUUAGAUUCCACGUAAGACUAGUCAGCUCCUGUCCAGAAGGUGAGCAGUGCUUUUGUUCCUUUGAUUUCAUUCAACUGACAUAUUUAGUGGCCAUUGUAUGCCAAGUAUAGCACUGCCUAACUCACCACUACCCUGCCCCAGCCAACCCGACCCUCUGCAGAAGACAUCUGCUGGUAUCCUAGUAAACUGCAAUACAGAAUUCUCUUUGCUGGGCUUACAUCUCUGUAAGACUGUGUAUGAGGACAAGAAUCGGAGAGAAGUAGGAAAUGGAAAAGUAAGACAAGAGUUGAUUCAAUAUGGCGUCGGAAAGGGUGGGAGUGGGUAGUUUGUGUUGUUAUAAUGUCGUCUAUGCAAACACACGGAUAGGCUGUCACAAGUCCAUAUAGACAGAAUGAGUGUAUUCGAGACAGGAAGCCAUAAGACAGGUGCAGCACUGAGUCAUUUUCAUCAUGGUUUCCAGAAAGUCUUGAUAGGGAUGUCAUUCUAAUCUCUACAUUAAAGGAGGAAGGUCAUGCACCCGGUGAAGCAAGCUAUGGAAUAAAAAAUAAAAAAGAAAGAAAGAAAGAAAGAAAGAAAGAAAGAAAGAAAGAAAAGAAAGAAAGAAAGAAGAAAGAAAGAAAGAAAGAAAGAAAGAAAGAAAGAAAGAAAGAGAAAGAAAGAAGAAGAAUAGAUUCGUUCACUCAUUCACUCAUUCAUUCAUUCACAGCGGAGGAGGAUACACAGAAAAUUAAUACACAGUCCCUGCCCCGAAGGAAAACAAAGGGAGAACAAACAAGAAAGAGUCAAGAAAUGUUCUUUAUCAGAUGAACACAAACCCAAGAGAAGCAUUUUCUUAAUUAGCAAUUAAUGAUAACUUCCCAUCUUCACGGCUCACUGUUUAUAAGCGAUCUGUCAGUUAUAAGGAGUAGUAUUAUUAUUAAUAUUAGUAUUUACUCUGUGUCUAUAGGGCUUUCUGGGAGAAGUGGGAGUGAGGAAAGAGAGUGAGGGCAUAGCAGGGAGGAUGGAUUUUAAAUGGAGGUCUGGAGUGGAAUUCUAUCAAUAGAAACACAAAGGAAACCAAACCUCCAAAAUAGAGUUUGUGAAAAUUUGAAAGAAUCCUUAACAUAAGAAUGAACCCUAAGCUCACCUGCCUAUACCAGGACCUCCCUCUGGCUUCCACGCCCAGGGCAGGCUAUGUAAGGUGGGUGUUCUGGUUCACGUUUCUCUGACCUGCUGCAGAAACUGCACCCUGGUUCUCCCUGGGUCCGUCGGUGCUGGCGCCAGGCAGGUUUCACCCAACGGGCCAGAUGCACGUGAAACCCCAUCACCUCCCUUCCACUGACAGCCCUUAUUCGCCCGUGAUACAGAAGCAAGGCCAACCAGAGGGGAAGAAGCCGGGGAUUCCAGUUACAUAGAGAGCUGGCGAUUGACGCAGUGUCCUCUCCUUGUCACCUGGUGAAACGUGGGCACAGCCCAGGGCCGGGAAAAGAUUGACCCCUACCCUGUCUCCAGUCCAGGCCCCCCUGACCCCACAGACGGGAGGAGAGUCUGCUGACUCAUUAGAAGAAGGACAAAAGGCCGGACACUGGGUGGCUAGCUCGGGGGCAGGACGGGCACUGGCUAGAUGAGCUCUCCUCUUCCCGGCCUGCUCCCUUCUUCCUUUCCUGUUGGCUGACAAGUGAUUUAGUUUAUCCAAAAAUAAAUAAAUAAAUAAAUAAAUAAAUAAAUAAAUAAAUAAAUAAGAAAGGAAAACCCCCCACUUUUACCCCAUCACCACCAUUAUCACCAAGAUGUUCAAAUCUCCAAAAGUCUAGGCUUAAGUUCAUGUGAAAAAAUAAAAUAAUCCCCUUUGCCCUCACUUCCUCACCCCACCCUAACAUUAAGCACUCUUAAAAAAAAAAAAAAAAAAAAAAUAUAUAUAUAUAUAUAUAUAUCUUAUAAAAAAUGCAAUGGAGAGCCCAUGGAUUUUUUGGUUGAUGUGGGUGGGUCUUCUAAAACAAGAUGCCAUCUAAAAACAAAAACAAAACAAAACAAAACAAAAAAAACAAGGUGCCAUCUUUUAAUAUCCUCCCCUCAAUUCAAAAGCAGUCUCUAUAACUAAAAGGAACGAGGGAAUCAAUUUGACAAAAAUCACUUUUUUUUCUUUUAAUGAAUGUAUUGAGGCUAAAAUAAAACAAAACAAUUAAAAAAAAAUAGCCUCGUAGGAGAAAGUAGAUCAGAGAAGGCCCUGCAAAUUUCUGUUCAUUUGUUAAACGAUUCUCUCUCCCCAUUAAAACAGAGCAUGGGGAAAUGGAUGAGGGACAGAUGCUGGGGCUGUUUGAAGGGUUAAACACCUUUUUCUUCAUCAACAGUAUGCUCUGGGGAUGUGAGAAGAACCCUGGUCAAUAGACAGAUAUAUUGACUUGUUAUUAUUUAAAGUUGUUUAACCAGGUAGAGAUAAACGAAAGCUUUCAGCAGCUGAACUAUCACACAAAUCACAAUUAAGGUGGCAUAUGUGUUUGGAAGACGUAAAAUCAAUUCCCGCGAAGAUAAUGUUUUAGUCUCUAUUUGAACUUGAAAACAGGAGUAAAUUUUCAGCAGCAACAGCUGGGCUUGUUCCAUCCAGGAGGCUCUCUAUUAACUGUACAAGAAGGGCCUUUAUUACCUCUUCUAAUGGUUUUCCUCUAUGGUUUUGUCUUCAUCAAAAAAGCCAAAUUGAUUGCCGUGGUGCUGUUUACUGAUGUGGCGUUGAGGACUGCGGCAGCUGGGUGCUCACCCAGCCCAGUAGUUGGACCUCCCUCUGCUCUCUGAGUGCUAUUUAAUGUUUGUGGAGAGAACAGUGGAGCCCCGAGGGCUACUCACUGGGCUAGGUGGGGAAGGAAAGGUGGUUCAGCCUCCUUCCUAGCUUCCCUCCCUAAGGUAGCCUUCCCCGGGCUUGCCUGGGUGCCAGAGCCUGUGUAUGGGAAAGCAAGGCAUUUAUUUGUCUAAAGUAAUCUCUGUGAUUUAUUCACCCUUCACAUUUUCUCCCAGUAGGAUGUGACCUCUGAGGACAGCACCUCACCACUGAGCAUUUUAAUCAUAUGAAUUCAUGCAUAUGUUUGUGUGGUCCUCCUAAUUCUCUCCUAUGCUCCCCGGAGGCAGGGACCACAUUUACUGCCACUAGAUCUUUGAUCAGAUUUAGUAUGGUGCUGGCACACUGUAGAUGCCUUAAGUGGGGACGGGGUGGAGGCGGGUGUUGAUAAUGGGAAUCCACUGGUCCAAAGGCUGAAAUCCAAUCCACUUCCUCCCUACACUGCCCCUCUCUGUUGUUAUUCAUGAUGGUCCUUGAGAAGUGAGGCCAGUUGACUGCUCUACUCAUGUUGAGUUCUCGUUAUCCUUUAGUUAAGAUGCAAACUAAAUGCCAUGUAAGCUGAAUGGAAAUGAGGGUGGAGUAGAAGUUGCCCUUUUGGGGGUCACAGGGCUUGCCUGAGACUAAGAAGAAAAAUACACUGAGAAAAUAGGAGUCUGACUUCCCCCCGAGCAGGUGGUAGUGGACAAGGACAUUGUGAUUCUAGAGUGACAACAGAAGCAGAUCAGGGGAGGAAAGAUGGCUAGUAAGGGACUUGUAGCCAGGGAACCUGGACUCCAGUUCUCAUCUGGGUGCUAACUGAUUGUAAGACCUAGGACAGACCAUUGGCCUCGGUGUUGUGGAUGCUUCAUCAGAAAAGUAUGAAUGCUGGGAGGGACCCAAGCUUCUUAACACAUGAACACUUAUAGAAAUAUAAGCUUAGUAUUACCGUUGAAGACAAAACAGGCACAAAAAAAAAAAAAAAAAGAACAAAAAUUAAAAGAGGCUAUUUCCUUUCAGACAAGAGCAACCAUCCUUUUUCCUUUCUCACUAUCUUCUAUACCUGUAAGGUCCUUUCCAACCCGUGACCACCCCCGACAUCAGAUACUCAUGAUCACAAAUAUGGACCACACAGAGCUCUCUACCUCCCUGACUUCCUACCCUACUGGUGCCGGCCUUCUUUCUUUCACUCUGUCCAGUAUAAUUCUACAAGGUCUCUGCUCUCAGGACAAUUUUGAUCAUGUUGUUUCUCAGCUCUAAAGUCAUAGACACACUCAUUCAAUAGAUACUGAGGUUUAUCAUGUACCAGAAACUAUUGCAGGUGUUUAGGAAAUAGCAAACACAUACACAACGUGCUGUCAUUCAGCUGGGUUCAUGGAGGAUGAUGGAGGAAAGAUGAUAGACAGAUGACGAGAUGAGGAAAGAGAGAGAGACGUUUUGACAUAGACAUUCCCAUUUAUAUUUAUUUAAAGUCAACGGUUCCCAUUUGCCAGAAUGAAGUCAUAUUUGACUGAAUAGAGUCUAUAUUCUAUUGUCUAUAAUGUACUUUCCCAGGUAGUGAUUUUUGUGGAUUGCUCUUGUUCUCUGCAAACUAGAAAACCAAGAAAAGCUAUUCCUUCUUACUUAUAUGAUACUGUGUUGUGUACUCGGAGCCUGGAAUUAAAUUAUUUGCUCAGUUUGUUGCACAAUUGGCAACUCCCUCCCAUAUGUUGCUUUUCUGAGGCUCUCAGACUUGUGCAUGGUUAAGGGUCAGACACAGAGAAGCCAACAACACUACCAGGUGCUUGUUCCUCAAUGGGGAAGUGGAAAGGGUCAGUGCUGAAGAGCACAGCCAUUGCUAGACCUGAUCCUUCAAGCCCGGAGAUUGUCUAGGGACUUGGUACCAUUUUUUCCCAUGAGACAGAACUUUGAUCACAGAAGCUCACAAAGAAGGCCGACUUACAAAAGACUGGACUGACCUCCUCUUGUGUUCAUAGAACCCGGUGUGUUUUUGGAAAAUGAGGUUAACCCCGACAACAGGGAGCAAUCUGGUGUUGAACUGGAAAGAAUGGGUCUGCAUGGCAUUCCUAACCCUGCCGAUUUCUAGCCUUGUGCCUCUGAGCUGCAGUGAGGAUAACACAUCAUUCCCGGGGCUGUUUGGAAUAUUAUAGGAGAUAGUACGUGUGAACGUUCUCAGCUCCUUGCGUGGUUUCAAUAAACACAUCAGCGUUACAGGCUUCGGCCCUUGCUCUGCCUCCCCCUACUCCCAUGCACACAAUGGGGCUGUUGUAAUGUUUGUGUACCAGGAAUGGUUCCGCUAAAAUAUCGUUAACCCAUGGACCGCGCUGUGUGAAAACGAAAAGCAUAUUCACAAGACAGUACUUUUCACCCUUCUGGCACCUUCCAAGUCUUGUCUUACCCCCUUCCUCAGCAGCUUCAAGUUCCUUACGGUAGGAAUUAAGAGGGAGGGGUCAAGUGGAGCGAUGCUGAAACUGCCCAUUGAACAGUUCAGUACAGGAAAGAGCAAGACUGGGACAAUAGAGAAUUCUGUGAGUAAGUCGACAAGGAAUUGACAUCAAAGGGAACACAUUCAAACAAGCAGACUGACUCAGGUACCGGAGCCACCGCCACACGAGUUGGAAAAUAACAGACGGGGAGAAAUCACAAAUGGGGGUGUCCAUGCUGCCUGCCGCAGCACUGAGACUGGGACCCUGGCUUCAUCAAGAGAAGAACCAGAGCCUUUGUAUCUGAGAACCUCCGAUGAGUCCCUUUACUGUCCUAGCUGACUCAAUCACACAGCGAAUCUUCCUCUAAUAAGCUGAUUCCCCUGAGACCUUUACCCAUAAAGAGACAGAAACUGAAGUAAUCUGGUCUUGUAACCGGAGCAACCGUCCUUGCAAAUCUACUGAGAAGGGAACAAGACCAGGGGUGUAGGAGCAGGCUCCAUGGGUAGUGCCAGCAUGCCUUCUUCCUCGGGGACAAUCAACCCAGAUAGCACCCCACCCCCUGCAGGGCCGAGGCAUCAGGGAAUUAAUAGACAUCCUAUGUGCAUUUGUAGUUGGUUUGUUUAUACUCCAGUGACUGUAUGGAGGCCCAAGAGAAAAGGAAGAAGGAACUGGAUAUUAUUUAACACUUAGGAGCUGGACACGUUUCUAGGUACUCUACAUGCUUUAUUUCAUGGGAUCUUAAUAAAAAAAAAAAUCAGAGCAUGUGAUAUUUAAGCAAAACCAUCCCUUACACUUUGCCUUCUAGACCAUCAUGUGUCAUAGUUGUGCUAAGACAGAGCCCAGGGUGAAUGAAACAAAUUCCUGUUAUCAGCUACCAGUCUGUGCCAAGCACCUACAGGCCAGGGACUUGCCGGGUACUUCCCCACUGCACCCCUCAUACAUCUCACGGCAGUGUCAUGGCAUAGUUAUUACUACUGCCACUGUGCAGAUGAGUAAACCAAGGUUGCAAGAGAUUAUGCUGUAAAGUCACAGAUACACAGCUAGUCUAUGGGAGAAUCAGGAUUUAAACUAAGUUCUUUCUCACUUGCAAAUCUGCACCAGAGCAGCAUAUGCUUAUGGGAGCAAACUGACUGGCUCCUGUUGACGUAGACUGAUAGACCCCCUGCAGAGUCCUGUUGCUGAGACAUGCAGCCACACACCCAUGGCUUUUGCUGAGAUCCAGCCUUCCCUAGUCUUGGGAGGGCCUCUCUGGGAUCAUUGGGGGAAAAAAAUUGAAAGAAAGUAGAAUUAUAUCUAUAUCUUUGAGUCAUUCAAAUGGAAUAUAUUCCUCUUAGUGGUAUAUAAGCUUAGGCACCUUUUCGAAAUGUGUUUGCAAGCAAGUGAGCAUCAGAUAAUAUGGUAAUGCCAAGAGGACUUCCUCAUUGUAACGUAACCGAUGAAUUGUAAUAAAACAUUCUCAGUGCCCAGCUAUUUUCUCAUCCUCCAGUGAAGAGUGGGUUGGCUUUUUGCAACUGACUUGAGAAGUGCCAAAUCCCAUCUGGGUGGUGGGACAGCUGUGUCAUUUCCCCCUUCCUCACUUAAAUCAUCUGUUACUUCCUGGCUGCCUAAUCAGAGAACUGCUCCUCUACCCCUCUAUCACAACAAGCAAUAAAACCGGUACCUUUGUAAGACAAAAAUCAAGAUAUAGAGGAAAUGGAGGAUGAGAAAUGAAUUGCAGAUGAUCCAAGGAGCUAGAGUUCCUAUGGAAUUAAAGAGGAAGGCACAGAAAGGAAAUCAGGCAUCCCUUGUUGAUGAUGGGUAUGAUUAGAUGACUCAGGAAAAUGCUGAUGGUGCUUAAAUCCCUCCACCUGGAGGUUCUAAGGAUGCUUGAAAACGCGUGUAUCAAAAACUGGUUGGGAUAUCUUCCUCCUCCUAAGUUUUAGAAUCAUCAAAUGGGACCAUCUUCCACCCAGUUGGCUAAGUUGGAAACCUGAAUUUCCCCCAUAUUUCACAUUCCCCAUCACCUUAUGUAUCUAGUCCUUCUCACUUACCCCCUAAAAAUCAUGCCAGCUUACCUGUUUCUCAAUACUCCUCAUGAUUUUUCAUCUGAAUUAUUUAAGUUGCCCCUACUAUGCAUCUUCCUUGCCAGAUUGACCAAUGUCCAUUAAUCCACCCUUCUGUCACAGUGAUCUUUCCAAAUUACAAUCCGAUCUAGCCACUCUUCUGAUGAAAUCCUUCUAUGUUUCCCUUUCUCUUUUAGGACAAAUCCCAACAUCUCAUUAUUUCUUGUAGAUUUUUUAAGGAUCUCACCCCUGCAUACCCAUUCCACCUGUUUCCUGCCAUUCUGCCUUUGCCCACACCCCUCUUGGGACAAUCUACUCUUGCAGUCUCUCGGCCUUGCUGUGCUUCUCAUGCCUGCAUGGGCUCAUCUGCAUGACUCACUUGUUCCCUUUCCCUCCCCUUUCUUAGCUAAUUUCUUCUGCUUCUUCAUGAUUGGCUCUGAAAGCUUUCCUUCAGCCUUACUGUCUGGUCAUGAGCCCUCUGCUGGGCACCUCUAGCACUUGAACAACACCUACCAUAGGAUAUAGUUUUAAAUCCUCCACUGGACUGAGACCUUCUUGAAGAUAGACACUGUCUCCCCUGGAUGUAUCCUCAGUACUUGUCAGAUAUUAGCUACCCAAUAUACAUUUAUAGAUUGGAAUUUAAGUUUUACUCUUUUUUUUUUUCAAAAUUCCCGUGAGAUGUACCAAAAAUCUCCCCACUUCCCAGGUUUGCAUCCUUAAAUAAUCUAGACUAAGGGAUUUAUUUCUUCUCUUUAAACUUCUGUAAAUAACAUACAAAUACAUUUAUUUUCAUUUCUUGAAAGAAGCAAACCCAGUUAAAAUUAUAUUUUGUAGAAGCACAGGAAAGUGAAGGCUUGAAGGGCGGCUGAAGGAGGGAUAGGAAGAAAACUAUGUUUAUUUUGCAACUAAUAUGUACCACAUAUUUUGUUAAAUAUCCUUACCUAUUCACAUCCAAUAAGGUCAUGGUCAGUGUUCGAGGUGGAUAUUAUGACCACUGUUUUAAUGAGCACUUUACCUUCGUAAGACUGAUGUCCAGAGUGGGUAAGAAACUGGUCCAUGGCAACAUAACUUGUAACUUGUGAUAUUAGAGUGUAAAGAUAAGUUUCCCCCAAAGUAUAUCACAAUAUGUCUUCAAAGAGAAAAUACGUGGUUUGAGCACACAAACUAAACAAAAGAAAAUAUGUCUUGUAGGAUAUAGCAAGUAAUGAAGAGGUAAAAACUGUAAACUUACUUUUGAAAUAAGAGAUGCUGUUAAGCAUUUAAAUGCAAAUGAGCCAGGUACUCCAACCUAAAUCCUCUGAGUUCUAGGCAAGUCUGGUCUAGAGAGGAAACUCAGUUUAGAAGAAACUAUUCAGCAAGUUCACACUUCUCUCCACCUCUUAUUCUUCAAGUCUCUGCUAUGUCCAUACUCCCAGUCACUGUUUUUCUUCCACUUAUCAGAAAGUCUCCUGGAGCUUUGAGACCCAAUAGAAGACAGUGUACUCACUAAUCCCAUGUGGAAAUGAAACUUUAUAUUCUAACCAGAGUUGACAUUCUAGGUGGUAUGUCUCCCCUUCUGGGACAUUUUGUAUCAACUUUAUUGCCAAUUGGGAAGUGUGGCCCUUUGGACAUUUAUAGUUGAACUCCUUUCAUGGUACUCAUUCAUUUCAUCCAACAGAUACCAUUCACACUAAAUAAAUACUUGAAGGCUGAACAUGCCCUGGUCCUGGUACCCCAUUUACUUUUGUAGUAAUAUUCUGCUCAGCAUAACCGCCGCCUAUAUUAACUGUCUACCUUUCAGCUUUUCAUCCUUAGGGGAUAAAAGUAGCUUCCUAAUCAUUUCCCAAUAUUUGCUUCCACUGCACUCAUUUUCUCAUAUCUCUAUCAUAAUACUUGCAAUAUUAUACUGUAAUUUUCUUUUUAUAUAGCUGUUUUCACAUCUCAGAUGUGAGCUCCUUUAGGGGAGUUCCUCACUAAAUGCAACGCAUGAACAAAUGAAUAAAUGGAAAAAAAUUAAGAAGGAAAAGGAUUUCCUACUGAUCAAAUGAACAUGUUCCAUGAAGGUAGCUUCAUUUGUGGUCUGAAGGUUUUGCUUUUCAAAAUAGAAAAUUAAACAUUGAUAUGUCUGCUCAUCUGGGUGUUUCCACUCUGCUCCCAAUUCUCCAUCAUUUUCCUACCAUAACACAUCCUGAUAGGAACAAGUAUGUCCAUAAUAUAUUUUCUAAAGCCCUUCUCUCUAUAUAUGUUUUUAAUAGGGUGUGUUUUGGGUGAAGAUAACAAAAAUGUAUCCAAUCAUUUAGCUGCUGUGCUUAAGAAUAACUAGAUAGAGCCUCCCUUGCAGAAAGAAGAGAUAACAGUUAAGAUUUUCAUUACCUUGAAGUGGCUUGGUAAAUAGGUAUGCCUGCCAAAGGCUAGUUGGAGGAUGCUUGGUGGAUGGAUUGACAGGUAAGGGAAAGAUGGAUGGUUUAAAUAAAUAGAUGGGAACAGUAAUAUGAGGGAGGUGGAUGAGUAUACAGAUAGAAUAAAGGUUAGAUAAAUGGGGAAAUAAUAUGUGAAUGAAGAGGUGAGUGGUUUGCUGAUGGAAGAAUAAAUUGGUAUACAGAAGACUGAUGGAGCUGAGUAGCUGGAUGGAAAAAAAAAGACCAAUGAAUGUCUAUGCCAGCAGGAGAGCCAAUAGAUGGGUAAAUGCUGUGGUAUGAACAGAAGCAGGAGACCAUCCAUCAGGUGUGGAUGGGAAGAGGAUGAUUAAAAGGAAGAAGAAAACGGGGAGAGGAAAGGGGAGCACUAAAUGUAUUAUGAUGAUAAGGGGAAUUGGAAUUUGUUCCCUUAAUAAGUCAUAAGUUUACAAUGAGUUUGAGGAAAUUGAAAACUCUCAAUCAUUGAUACCUUUUCCUUGGUAUUUUAAUUUUCAAAGAACAUGACCUAGGAUAUCAAGUUAUCUGUGCUCCAUCCCUUGUGGGAGAGACUGAGCUUUAAAAGCUUGGGAAUGAGCCCUUGUCUACCUGGGAGCCCAUUAAGAAAUAAGCCUCAGAGAUCUAGCUCAGGAUCUUGGCCAGAAGAGCUAGGCAUGCUGUAAAGUCAACUAAAGAAUUCUAAUGCACUUUGUGCUGAAUUCCAAAACCAUAAUUAACAAUUGGCCUAGGCUUUAUUUGG